GAGGAAUAUUGGUCAAUGGAGGCAACUCUGAACCAGCCAAGUCGCGUGAAGGAUGAAGGUCUUAUGGAUUGUAAACUUCUUUUAUACAGGAAUAAAGUGAGUCACGUGUGACUUUUUGCAUGUACUGUAUGAAUAAGGAUCGGCUAACUCCGUGCCAGCAGCCGCGGUAAUACGGAGGAUCCGAGCGUUAUCCGGAUUUAUUGGGUUUAAAGGGUGCGCAGGCGGGAAGUUAAGUCGGCGGUGAAAUUUUGCAGCUCAACUGUAAAAGUGCCUUCGAAACUGGCUUUCUUGAGUAUGGAUGAAGUAGGCGGAAUUUGUGGUGUAGCGGUGAAAUGCUUAGAUAUCACGAGGAACUCCGAUUGCGCAGGCAGCUUACUAAACCAUAACUGACGCUCAUGCACGAAGGCGUGGGGAUCAAAC
Molecule: ribosomal RNA, 420 nt
Filed under: uncultured bacterium
Lineage: Bacteria
Description: bacterial SSU rRNA
Rfam family: Bacterial small subunit ribosomal RNA
Source: RNAcentral